Long non-coding RNA from Chrysemys picta bellii (western painted turtle), 1736 nucleotides. RefSeq lists it as uncharacterized. The record is from RefSeq and is a predicted model, not a curated record. NCBI's taxonomy places the organism in Eukaryota, Metazoa, Chordata, Testudines, Emydidae.
CUCUUACCUAGAAGUUUACCUGGGAUGAAAGUGAAGCAAAAGAAUUUAUCAUGGAUAAGAUUCCUGUGGUGUGAUUAGAAUAUUGACCAGCCUGGAUACAAGCUCACAGACAGAUUUGACUGUUGUGAUGUUCCCAGCUCCUCGCAACCUCCUGCUUUACCCUCCCCCACAGCUGGAGUUUGGAAACUGAGGGAAGAAAAUGACGGCAUGAAGACUGACAGACAAGCUAGCCAGUGGAGGACACCCAUCGCAUUUAGUGCAGGGGAUGGAUUUCACUUGGUAAACAGCUAUUCAAGUGUCUCUGAAAAGAAAGGAUUUACAAACAAGAGCAGCACAAAAGCUUCAAUCAACUCCCACUGUCAAUGGUGCUCCAUCCAGAGAACAUCACCUGCUACUGAUUUACAGUUUUAAGUGAGUCAAGGUAUUGAGGCUAGAAGAACUGGAAGGGGGAUAGUUAAACUCUAUGCGAAGUUUGGAAAACAGUGUAAUGUAUCCAACCAAUUCCUACUAUCCUAAUUUAGGACACAUGUACUGCAGCUAUUAACUGGCCAACUUGGUUAAGCCACUGUAAAUCUUAAUUCCUAUCUGAGACAACACCCUUCACUAAACCCAACAAAAGUUUUCUUUUGUGUUUGUUUAGCCAUGGAUUGUCCGUUCAUGUGCCCGUCAUGGAGUCACCAGGGCGAUGCUCUGGAACUACUCCCUAUGAAGCUAGUCAGGACUCUGGGGGAGCCUCCUCUCUCUGAGCAUACUGUCUCCAGGGGCAAGAAGUUUACACAGCUUCCAUCUUCCUGGGUCUGACCUUGGAGCAUUCAGCAUCCCCUUCCACACCGUGUGCUUCCUGUAGCACGUCCGCCCGGGCAGGGCUCCUGGGGAAGCCAGAGGGCCCUGUACCCCAACUCCGCAGUCAGAUGUGACUCUCAGCCAGCCGGUAAAACAAAAGGUUUAUUAGUCAACAGGCAUACAGCAUAGGGCAGAACUUGUUAGCACAGAAAUCAAUGACUUUCAGCCAAGUCCAUCUUGGGGGGAGGGGAGCCCAGAGCCAAGGCUCUGGCCCUCAUCCUGUGCCCCAAGCCAGCUGAGACUGACUCACUGCCAGCUGCCUGGUCCCUGCCCUUCCCGUUGCUCCUCCUCCGGCCUUUGUCUCGCUUCCCGGGCCAGAGUCACCUGGUCCCAUCCCUCUCCUGGGUCUCAGGUUACGAAGGGGCAGCCAUAGCAUCCAUACAGGCAGUUGGAGAAGCCUCCAUAAAAGUCUCACACAGCAUCCAUGCAAAACAGCAAGACACACACAACAUAAUAAGGGGAAACCCCACUUCGUCACAGUGCCAUGCAAAUUGGCUGGGAAAAUACCUCUAUAUAAAUGUAUUAUAUAAAAAUAUAAAUUUACUCUAAAGAAAUCCUUUUUUAUUAGGCAGCUUUUCCAGUUCUGUGAUCAACUUUUUCUUUUCCUUCAACUGAGGCCUGUAUUUAUUCUUUUUAAGUACAAUAAUUGAAUUAAAAAUCUGAUCAGCACCUAUUUGAUGUUGAAAUUAUUUUUUAAAUAUAACAGUAUUGCUAAAGGAACUUAAUAUAAUAAAGGACGAUCUUAUUAUCUGAAAACUUUCCACUAAGAGGAUUUGGCAUCUAAAAAGUGAGUUGCUGAAAUUGUGCUCUAAACUCAUAAACACCACUUAUACUGGGUCUGAAAGUUAUUCCAAAUGUGGCUGAGAAGAUUCAUCUGGAUAUUAAAAAUAGAA